This 460-nucleotide ribosomal RNA is filed under the name uncultured bacterium. Its description in RNAcentral is "partial 16S ribosomal RNA". It matches the Rfam family "Bacterial small subunit ribosomal RNA", at positions 338 to 795 of the family's 1533-position model. The record is from RNAcentral.
CCUACGGGUGGCAGCAGUGAGGAAUAUUGGUCAAUGGCCGUAAGGCUGAACCAGCCAAGUAGCGUGAGGGAAGACUGCCCUAUGGGUUGUAAACCUCUUUUAUGCGGGGAUAAAGGUGUCCACGUGUGGAUGUUUGCAGGUACCGCAUGAAUAAGGACCGGCUAAUUCCGUGCCAGCAGCCGCGGUAAUACGGAAGGUCCGGGCGUUAUCCGGAUUUAUUGGGUUUAAAGGGAGCGUAGGCCGGUCUUUAAGCGUGCCGUGAAAUUUUGUGGCUCAACCGUAAAAUUGCAAUUGAUACUGGCAGUCUUGAGUACAGUUGAGGUAGGCGGAAUGUAUGGUGUAGCGGUGAAAUGCUUAGAGAUCAUACAGAACACCGAUUGCGAAGGCAGCUUACCAAUCUAUAUCUGACGUUGAGGCACGAAAGCGUGGGGAGCAAACAGGAUUAGAUACCCUUGUAGUC